RNAcentral lists this long non-coding RNA (275 nucleotides) under Mytilus galloprovincialis (Mediterranean mussel). The record is from RNAcentral. Lineage: Eukaryota; Metazoa; Mollusca; Bivalvia; Mytilida; Mytilidae.
GAAUUAUUAAAUACAUUUGCCAUUUCGGGGCCUUUUAUAGCUGACUAUGCGGUAUGGGCUUUGCUCAUUGUUGAAGGCCGUAUGGUUACCUAUAAUUGUUCAUUUCUGUGUCAUUUGGUCUCUUGUGGAGAGUUGUCUCAUUGGCAAUUGCACCAGACCUAUUUUUAUGUACGUAUCACAUAAUUGGUAUUUACAAGAGCAAAACACACAGGUGAUCACAGGUGGCACACGAAGAGCAUCAUCUUAUAACAAGUCUGGGUCACGUGAGCUAACCC